AAUGGUUUAGUGGCGCACGGGUGAGUAACACGUGAAUUACAUGCCCUUCAGUGGGGAAUAGCCCAGGGAAACUUGGAUUAAUACCCCAUAGUCUCGCAAGAGUAAAGGUGGCGUAAGCUGCCGCUGAAGGAUUGGUUCGCGCCCUAUCAGCUUGUUGGUGAGGUAAUGGCUCACCAAGGCUUAGACGGGUAGCUGGUCUGAGAGGACGACCAGCCACACUGGAACUGAGACACGGUCCAGACACCUACGGGUGGCAGCAGUCGAGGAUUUUUCUCAAUGGGGGCAACCCUGAAGGAGCGACGCCGCGUGGAGGAUGAAGGGCUUCGGCUCGUAAACUCCUGUCACCGACGAACAAGGCAUCCGAAUUAAUAAAUCGGAUGCUUGAUGGUAGUCGGAGAGGAAGGGGCGGCUAACUCUGUGCCAGCAGCCGCGGUGAUACAGAGGCCCCAAGCGUUGUUCGGAUUUACUGGGCGUAAAGGGUGUGUAGGGGGUUGGGUAAGUUUGACGUGAAAUCCCGUUGCUCAACAACGG
Molecule: ribosomal RNA, 531 nt
Filed under: uncultured Luteolibacter sp.
Lineage: Bacteria; Pseudomonadati; Verrucomicrobiota; Verrucomicrobiia; Verrucomicrobiales; Verrucomicrobiaceae
Description: bacterial SSU rRNA
Rfam family: Bacterial small subunit ribosomal RNA
Source: RNAcentral